Molecule: transfer RNA, 74 nt
Organism: Homo sapiens (human)
Lineage: Eukaryota; Metazoa; Chordata; Mammalia; Primates; Hominidae
Rfam family: tRNA
About the family: Transfer RNA (tRNA) molecules are approximately 80 nucleotides in length. Their secondary structure includes four short double-helical elements and three loops (D, anti-codon, and T loops). Further hydrogen bonds mediate the characteristic L-shaped molecular structure. tRNAs have two regions of fundamental functional importance: the anti-codon, which is responsible for specific mRNA codon recognition, and the 3' end, to which the tRNAs corresponding amino acid is attached (by aminoacyl-tRNA synthetases). tRNAs cope with the degeneracy of the genetic code in two manners: having more than one tRNA (with a specific anti-codon) for a particular amino acid; and 'wobble' base-pairing, i.e. permitting non-standard base-pairing at the 3rd anti-codon position.
Source: Rfam
GUCUCUGUGGCACAAUCGGUUAGCGCGUUUGGCUGUUAAUCUAAAGUUUGGUGGUUAGAGCCCACUGAGGGACG